AGAGUUUGAUCCUGGCUCAGGACGAACGCUGGCGGCGUGCUUAACACAUGCAAGUCACGGGGGCCCGCAAGGGUAACCGGCGAACGGGUGCGUAACACGUGAGCAAUCUGCCGUCCACUGGGGGAUAGCCGGCCCAACGGCCGGGUAAUACCGCAUACGCUUGCCGGGUGGCAUCACCUGGCAAGGAAACCUCCGGGGGUGGACGAGGAGCUCGCGGCCUAUCAGCUAGUUGGUGGGGUCACGGCCCACCAAGGCGAUGACGGGUAGCUGGUCUGAGAGGAUGGCCAGCCACAUUGGGACUGAGAUACGGCCCAGACUCCUACGGGAGGCAGCAGUGGGGAAUAUUGCGCAAUGGCCGCAAGGCUGACGCAGCGACGCCGCGUGGGGGAUGAAGCAUUUCGGUGUGUAAACCCCUGUUGCCCGGGACGAACCUCCCCUUUCGAGGGGACUGACGGUACCGGGUGAGGAAGCACCGGCUAACUCCGUGCCAGCAGCCGCGGUAAUACGGAGGGUGCGAGCGUUGUCCGGAAUCACUGGGCGUAAAGGGCGCGUAGGCGGUGACUUAAGCGUGUGGUGAAAGCCCGGGGCUCAACCCCGGGUCGGCCGUGCGAACUGGGUCACUCGAGCACUGUAGAGGCAGGUGGAAUUCCGGGUGUAGCGGUGGAAUGCGUAGAGAUCCGGAAGAACACCAGUGGCGAAGGCGGCCUGCUGGGCAGUAGCUGACGCUGAGGCGCGACAGCGUGGGGAGCAAACAGGAUUAGAUACCCUGGUAGUCCACGCCGUAAACGAUGGGCACUAGG
This 800-nucleotide ribosomal RNA is filed under the name uncultured bacterium. RNAcentral's name for it is "bacterial SSU rRNA". It matches the Rfam family "Bacterial small subunit ribosomal RNA", at positions 8 to 820 of the family's 1533-position model. The record is from RNAcentral.